This 497-nucleotide ribosomal RNA is filed under the name uncultured bacterium. RNAcentral describes it as "partial 16S ribosomal RNA". It matches the Rfam family "Bacterial small subunit ribosomal RNA", at positions 28 to 507 of the family's 1533-position model. The record is from RNAcentral.
GAUGAACGCUGGCGGCGUGCCUAAUACAUGCAAGUCGAGCGAACAGACGAGGAGCUUGCUCCUCUGACGUUAGCGGCGGACGGGUGAGUAACACGUGGAUAACCUACCUAUAAGACUGGGAUAACUUCGGGAGACCGGAGCUAAUACCGGAUAAUAUAUUGAACCGCAUGGUUCAAUAGUGAAAGACGGUUUUGCUGUCACUUAUAGAUGGAUCCGCGCCGCAUUAGCUAGUUGGUAAGGUAACGGCUUACCAAGGCAACGAUGCGUAGCCGACCUGAGAGGGUGAUCGGCCACACUGGAACUGAGACACGCUCCAGAAUCCUACGGGACGCAGCAGUAGGCAAUCUUCCACAAUGGGCGAAAGCCUGACGGAGCAACGACGCGUGAGUGAUGAAGGUCUUCGGAUCGUAAAACUCUGUUAUUAGGGAAGAACAAAUGUGUAAGUAACUAUGCACGUCUUGACGGUACCUAAUCAGAAAGCCACGGCUAACUACGUG